GUUAGACAAACAAUUUAAUUACGCUUCAAAUAUUUUUUUUUACAAAAAACUGUUUCUGUUGUUUUAGGCAGUUUUUUAUCACGCUGGUGUUAGUUCAAGUGUUCGUUCUUUAAAAAAGUUUGGUUUUAGUUAGUUAUUUGAUGCUAUAGAAACGGACGUUUUACGUCAUGAUUGACAGCUGAGUUUGACAGCUUCUCUGAGUGAAGUAGUCACUGAGGUGCCAACGGACUUUUUUCUGGAUCUUCACAAGAACCUUUCUCCAAGUUAACAGAGUGUGUGAGUUUUCAUGUAGGCUAACCACAUCCUGUUCAUCCCUUUCUUUCAUCUGCUCUGCCUUUUUAUGAGCUUGGAAUCUGGGCUUCAGAGCGUGACAGCGAGCUUCUCACAGUUCCUAGAGCCUCGUCAGGUCACCCAGCGUUGACAUCACUGAGGAUGCUCCUCAAUACUGGAACCAGCCGACUUUCCGCACAUCAAACCCUUGUCUUGUCUGUGUAUGACCUGAGCGUCUCAUCUACCGUGCAGUGUUGAUUAAACGCUCUCCUCUCUGA
Long non-coding RNA from Megalobrama amblycephala (Wuchang bream), 548 nucleotides. RefSeq lists it as uncharacterized. The record is from RefSeq and is a predicted model, not a curated record. The transcript has 3 exons. Lineage: Eukaryota; Metazoa; Chordata; Actinopteri; Cypriniformes; Xenocyprididae.